AUUGAACGCUGGCGGCAGGCCUAACACAUGCAAGUCGAACGAGUGGCGGACGGGUGAGUAAUGGCUGGGAAACUGCCUGAUGGAGGGGGAUAACUAAUGGAAACGGUAGCUAAUACCGCAUACCAUCAGAUGUGCCCAGAUGGGAUGAGCUAGUUGGUGGGGUAACGGCUCACCAAGGCGACGAUCCCUAGCUGGUCUGCGAGGAUGAGCGGCCACACUGGAACUGAGACACGGUCCAGACGCCGACGGGAGGCAGCAGUAGGGAAUAUUGGACAAUGGGCGCAAGCCUGAUGCAGCCAUGCCGCGUGUAUGAAGAAGGCCUUCGGGGUGUAAAGUGCUGUCAGCGGAGAGGCGUUACCCACAGAAGAAGCACCGGCUAACUCCGUGCCAGCAGCCGCGGUAAUAC
This 406-nucleotide ribosomal RNA is filed under the name uncultured bacterium. Its description in RNAcentral is "partial 16S ribosomal RNA". It matches the Rfam family "Bacterial small subunit ribosomal RNA", at positions 29 to 526 of the family's 1533-position model. The record is from RNAcentral.